Molecule: long non-coding RNA, 825 nt
Organism: Oncorhynchus keta (chum salmon)
Lineage: Eukaryota; Metazoa; Chordata; Actinopteri; Salmoniformes; Salmonidae
Exons: 4
Source: RefSeq, a predicted model, not a curated record
CAUAGGAGGAGAGAGAGAGAUGAACAACAUAGGAGGAGAGAGAGAUGAACAACAUAGGAGGAGAGAGAGAUGAACAACAUAGGAGGAGAGAGAGAUGAACAACAUAGGAGGAGAGAGAGAUGAACAACAUAGGAGGAGAGAGAGAUGAACAACAUAGGAGGAGAGAGAGAUGAACAACAUAGGAGGAGAGAGAGAUGAACAACAUAGGAGGAGAGAGAGAUGAACAACAUAGGAGGAGAGAGAGAUGAACAACAUAGGAGGAGAGAGAGAGAUGAACAACAUAGGAGGAGAGAGAGAGAUGAACAACAUAGGAGGAGAGAGAGAUGAACAACAUAGGAGGAGAGAGAGAGAUGAACAACAUAGGAGGAGAGAGAGAGAUGAACAACAUAGGAGGAGAGAGAGAGAUGAACAACAUAGGAGGAGAGAGAGAUGAACAACAUAGGAGGAGAGAGAGAGAUGAACAACAUAGGAGGAGAGAGAGAGGUGAACAACAUAGGAGGAGAGAGAGAUGAACAACAUAGGAGGAGAGAGAGAGAUGAACAACAUAGGAGGAGAGAGAGAGGUGAACAACAUAGGAGGAGAGAGAGAUGAACAACAUAGGAGGAGAGAGAGAGAUGAACAACAUAGGAGGAGAGAGAGAGAUGAACAACAUAGGAGGAGAGAGAGAGAUGAACAACAUAGGAGGAGAGAGAGAGAUGAACAACAUAGGAGGAGAGAGAGAUGAACAACAUAGGAGGAGAGAGAGAGAUGAACAACAUAGGAGGAGAGAGAGAUGAACAACAUAGGAGGAGAGAGAGAUGAACAACAUAGGAGGAGAGAGAGGAG